GACAGAGGGUGCAAACGUUGUUCGGAAUUACUGGGCGUAAAGCGCGUGUAGGCUGCUCCGAAAGUCGGAUGUGAAAGCCCUGGGCUCAACCUAGGAAGUGCAUUCGAUACUGUGGAGCUGGAGUCCUGGAGAGGAAGGCGGAAUUCUCGGUGUAGAGGUGAAAUUCGUAGAUAUCGAGAGGAACACCGGUGGCGAAGGCGGCCUUCUGGACAGUGACUGACGCUGAGACGCGAAAGCGUGGGGAGCAAACGGG
RNAcentral lists this ribosomal RNA (253 nucleotides) under uncultured bacterium. Its description in RNAcentral is "partial 16S ribosomal RNA". It matches the Rfam family "Bacterial small subunit ribosomal RNA", at positions 524 to 776 of the family's 1533-position model. The record is from RNAcentral.